UACGUAUGUGGCAAGCGUUGUCCGGAAUUACUGGGCGUGAAGCGCGCGUAGGUGGUUUUCUAAGACCGAUGUGAAAUCUCCGCGCUUACCGUGGAGAGGUCGUUGGUGACUGGGAGACUUGAGUUUGGCAGAGGUGAGUGGAAUUCCCGGUGGAGCGGUGAAAUGCGUAGAGAUCGGGAGGAACACCAGUGGCGAAGGCGGCUCACUGGGCCAUGACUGACGCUGAGGCGCGAAAGCGUGGGGAGCGAACCGG
This 253-nucleotide unclassified non-coding RNA is filed under the name uncultured Chloroflexota bacterium. Its description in RNAcentral is "uncultured Chloroflexi bacterium contains 16S-23S intergenic spacer region". It matches the Rfam family "Bacterial small subunit ribosomal RNA", at positions 524 to 776 of the family's 1533-position model. The record is from RNAcentral. Lineage: Bacteria; Bacillati; Chloroflexota.